CUCGGCCAGCAGUGAGUUGAGAUGCUGAAAGAUAUAGAGUGUCAGCCAGCAGUGAGUUGGGAUGCUGAAAGAUAUAGAGCCUCGGCCAGCAGUGAGUUGGGAUGCUGAAAGAUAUAGAGUGUCGGCCAGCAGUGAGUUGGGAUGCUGAACGAUAUAGAGCCUCGGCCAGCAGUGAGUUGAGAUGCUGAAAGAUAUAGAGUGUCGGCCAGCAGUGAGUUGGGAUGCUGAACCCUGUAAAGAGAGGUUGAGUAGGUCAUACCUUAGAUACAGAAAGUCAUAGCCCUGUAACCUAGCACCCUCUCUCUCUCACUGGGACUCCCCUGAACACUCACACACACUCACACACUCACACACACACACACACACACACACACACACACACACACACACACACACACACACACAACUACACCUACCAAUGUGUCCCCAGAUAGCAGCAGUAGGCAAAUGACAUUACUGAUCCGUAGAACAGUUGAUUAAUGAAUCCAAUGGAACAGCUGAAUUUAUAGCCACAUGUGGGUUGUAUGUAGAAAACAUGUAUAAUGUAUGCAUGAGCGCGUGUGUGUUUAAAUGAGCGCGUGUGUCUGUAUGCAUUACUUUGAUUCUAGUACACUGAGUAAAUAACUGGUGAAUAAAUUAUUCUCCACGUGUACACUGUUAAAAUGAAGUGCUCUGUAACACUUAAACUAGUGUCAACUGAGCUGCCACCACCUUAAAGGAGACCAAACCUUAACUUUUCCGGAGUAUUGAAACACAUGGUUUGUCAGGGUAUUGGGGCAGAUAUAAGGUGUUCUGAAACAUUGACCCUGAGGGGUUCUGAAACAUUGACCCUGAGGGGUUCUGAAACAUUGACCCUGAGGGGUUCUGAAACAUUAACCCUGAGGGGUUCUGAAACAUUAACCCUGAGGGGUUCUGAAACAUUGACCCUGAGGGGUUCUGAAACAUUGACCCUGAGGGGUUCUGAAACAUUGACCCUGAGGGGUUCUGAAACACGGCGUGGUGUGUUAUAAAACCACAUAUUCAUUCAAAAGGUUAAGAAUGCUAUUAUGGUGUUUCAAGUCCCGUGCAGCAUUAGAUCCCUUCUCUUUCAGUGUAGUUUCCUCUCUCAAGCUCCUAAACAGUAUUAUGCUCGAACAAAAGACACUAGAAAAUAUAGUUUUGUGAAAAUACAAAUUAAUUUGUUUUUCCAGGAUAAUAAUUGAGAACAACAUUUAUUUUUCAAAACAUGAUUGAAGCUUAUAAUGGUUUCUUUUAUUUGCAAAUGAUUAAAUGACAAUGAAACAUUAACAGGUUUUUCACAUUUUUAUAUUGAUAAAGACGGUUCAAAGAUCUUGUCACGUUCUGACCUUAGUUCCUUUGUGAUGUCUUUGUUUUAGUUUGGUCAGGGCAUGAGUUGGGUGGGCAGUCUAUGUUCUUUUUUGUAUGAUUUGGUAUUUCUGUGUUUGGCCUGGUAUGGUUCUCAAUCAGAGGCAGCUGUCAAUCGUUGUCCCUGAUUGAGAACCAUACUCAGGCAGCCUGUUUUCACCCUUGAGUUGUGGGUGAUUAUAUUUCCUGUUUAGUGCUUUUGUCAUUCACCUUACGGGACUGUUCGUUUGUCAUUUAUUGUUUUGUUCAGUGUUCGAUUACAGUUCAUAUAAGGAAAUCAAAUAUAUUAAUUAGGCAAUAAUCUUUGGAUUUCACAUUGCUGGGCAGGAGCGCCUGGCUCCCAAGUGCGUGGGCCUAUGCCCUCCAGGAGAGCCAGACCCAGCCAAUCAGAAUGAGUUUUUCCCCAUAAAGGGUUUUAUUACAGACAUAAAUACUCCUCAGUUUCAUUAGCUGUUCAGGUGGCUGGUAGACAAUCUCGCAGGUGAAGAAGCCGGAAGUGGAGGUCCUGGGUUUGCGUGAUUACACGUGGUCUGCGGUUGUCUAAAACGACAUUGGAGGCGGCUUAUGGCAGAGAAAUGAAUGCUCCCUUAAAACUUGAGACAUCUGUUGCAUUGUGUGACGAAACUGCACAUUUUAGAGGGGCCUUUUAUUGUCCCCAGCACAAGGUGCACCUGUGUAAUGAUCAUGAUGUUUAAUCAGCUUCUUGAUAUGCCACACCUGUCAGGUGGAUAGAUUAUCUUGGUAAAGGAGAAAUGCUCAAUAACAGGGAUGUAAACUAAUGUGUGCACAACAUUUGAGAGAAUUAAGCUUUUUGUGGGUAUGGAACAUUUCUGGGAUCUUUUAAUUCAACUCAUGAAACAUGGGACCAAUACUUUACAUGUUGAGUUUAUAUUUUUGUUCAGUAUAUAUUCAGAUGGUACAUGGCAUGGAAGGUUGUUCAGAUGGAUUGAAUCACAGUACAGUUGCGUAAGGUGAUAUGAUUGACAGGUCUGUUUGCAUUCGUCUGAUCCUUGGCUUUGGAUAGGCCAGCCCCUGGGUAACGUAGUAUGUAGGGGAGACAGAAAUAUCAAAUAAUAACGCAUAAUUCAGUUAUUAACAGCUUUAAUGAUAAUACAUUUAACAAGGCAAGUAAGUUAAGUACAAAUUCUUAUUUUCAAUGACGGCCUAGGAACAGUGUGUUAACUGCCUGUUCAGGGGCAGAAUGACAGAUUUGAACCUUGUCAGCUCAGUGGUUUGAACUUGCAACCUUCCGGUUACUAGUCCAACGCUCUAACCACUAGGCUACCCUGCCUCCCCAAUACCAAUAUGCUAAAUGCAAAUAUGUGAUUAAGCUAUGCAAAUAUAGCAACAAGAUAACAAUAUGAAUGUCAAAAGUUGGAUGCAAUAACGUGUGUUGUGGUAGGCUAAAGCUGGAGCAGACUAAAAUGGCAGUGGCUAUAUAGUGUAGCAUAUAGUGGCUAUAUAGUGUAGCAUACAGUGGCUAUAUAGUGUAGCAUAUAGUGGCUAUAUAGUGUAGCAUACAGUGGCUAUAUAGUGUAGCAUAUAGUGGCUAUAUAGUGUAGCAUAUAGUGGCUAUAUAGUGUAGCAUACAGUGGCUAUAUAGUGUAGCAUACAGUGGCUAUAUAGUGUAGCAUACAGUGGCUAUAUAGUGUAGCAUAUAGUGGCUAUAUAGUGUAGCAUACAGUGGCUAUAUAGUGUAGCAUACAGUAGCUAUAUAGUGUAGCAUACAGUAGCUAUAUAGUGUAGCAUACAGUAGCUAUAUAGUGUAGCAUAUAUCAUGUUGGGUGUACAUCAAAAAGUAGCUAAAACUCAUUAAGUUAGUAGACAAAUGACAAACGCAGGCCCUCAUUUGCAUAAGUGCAGGGAAUGGUGCAAACAAUGAUGUGUGAAUUAACUACUUGUAGAAUCAAGAAAACUGAUCAAUGAAUCAAAAUGACAGUUAUACUUGACCAUAGAGUUUGCUAGAGGGCACACCAGCCACUAAAUGCCUCAGACUGGUGGAAUUCGGAACAGAACAGGAGCGCAAUGAUUGAAGUUCACAUUUUUACUCUAAUCUAGAACUUUUGUCUUCUGAUAUGAAGGAAUGAAAAAAAUGAAGGUGGAAUUUCACAAAACAAAACUCUCCAUAGGCUUAUUCAAGUUGAUUUAACGUGACCUUUUUUUUGACUGUAGUAAAAUUCUUAUGGAGUCCAUGUUAAGUCUACUUAUCUCAAGUCUGAAUCUGGCCCCAUGUGGCUCAGUGUAACAAGAGUGGUUCAGCACAACAGUUAAGUCUUGAAGACUGGCUGUGUGGACUAAGGCAGUGUUUGGACAAGCAGGAGACUUGGGUUCAACAUCUACCUUCUCACAUGAAUCCUGCCGAUAAAGGUCCUUUAUACAUGUUACCUCUACUAUAGCCCUAAACAGUUUGAUUGUAACAUUAUCUAUAGUCUCACAAAGUUGCAACUGUAGUCUAUAAUUAGUGCCAAAGUCGACCCUAGGAAAUGUAUUAAAUUCCCAGUGUCUUCUUUAAAAUGUUAAAUCAAUAUUUAUAAUCAAUUAAUAUUUAUGCUGUAAACCAUUGGUAAGUGAAAUCGUUUUGAUGAUAUGAGAGACAGUCUGACAAAACAUUAUUAUUGUUGUUUCGAUGCUGCCUUAUACAUGCACUGAAACACCAACAAAUGCUUCCGCAACACACAAUGAUUCAGACUGAAGAACCAUUUAAGGGUGUUUCAGAGUCCUUCCGUUCUGUUUGGAAAUCCAUCCAGAGUAUCAGAACACUUCCAUUGAUUUAC
This is a long non-coding RNA of Oncorhynchus tshawytscha (Chinook salmon), 4139 nucleotides long. The record is from Ensembl. Lineage: Eukaryota; Metazoa; Chordata; Actinopteri; Salmoniformes; Salmonidae.